CAGCCCCCUUAACUCCAAAGCUGUAUACAGCGUUGCUAUUAUUGGUAUUUUUAGCCCAAUAACCGCUGUUUUAAUCAACAUUUAUUCACGAGAUCUUAUGGUUUAUAUUUAUUUCUUUUAAUGUUAUUAUUUUGGUCCAUUUUGGCCAGGGAAGCUGGAUUAGUUGUUUGAUAUUUUUAAAACUAUAAUGCUACAUCUAUCAACAUUUAUUUAGAUGUUAUCAUGGUAUGCA
This is a long non-coding RNA of Etheostoma spectabile (orangethroat darter), 232 nucleotides long. RefSeq lists it as uncharacterized. The transcript is spliced from 3 exons. Lineage: Eukaryota; Metazoa; Chordata; Actinopteri; Perciformes; Percidae. The record is from RefSeq and is a predicted model, not a curated record.